GACGAACGCUGGCGGCGUGCUUAACACAUGCAAGUCGAACGGUGAAGGGAUCAGCUUGCUGGUUCUGGAUGAGUGGCGAACGGGUGAGUAACACGUGAGUAACCUGCCCCCUUCUUCUGGAUAACCGCAUGAAAGUGUGGCUAAUACGGGAUAUUCUGCGCCUGCUGCAUGGUGGGUGUGGGAAAGAUAUUGUUUCGGUGGGGGAUGGGCUCGCGGCCUAUCAGCUUGUUGGUGGGGUGAUGGCCUACCAAGGCGGUGACGGGUAGCCGGCCUGAGAGGGUGGACGGUCACACUGGGACUGAGACACGGCCCAGACUCCUACGGGAGGCAGCAGUGGGGAAUAUUGCACAAUGGGCGCAAGCCUGAUACAGCGACGCCGCGUGAGGGAUGGAGGCCUUCGGGUUGUGAACCUCUUUCGCCAGUGAAGCAGGCCUGUCCCUUGUGGGUGGGUUGACGGUAGCUGGAGAAGAAGCGCCGGCUAACUACGUG
RNAcentral lists this ribosomal RNA (489 nucleotides) under uncultured bacterium. Its description in RNAcentral is "partial 16S ribosomal RNA". It matches the Rfam family "Bacterial small subunit ribosomal RNA", at positions 28 to 507 of the family's 1533-position model. The record is from RNAcentral.